RNAcentral lists this long non-coding RNA (13565 nucleotides) under Prunus persica (peach). RNAcentral describes it as "long non-coding RNA (PPER_LNC002969)". The record is from RNAcentral. Lineage: Eukaryota; Viridiplantae; Streptophyta; Magnoliopsida; Rosales; Rosaceae.
UUUGGAAGAGUCACCAAGCACAACAAAUACGUGCCGGUUCCUCCACCUUAGAAAAAUCCAAACACCAAACAAGCCUUGUGCUACCCGUUUGAUCAAGAUCAAGUCUCUACGACCCUUGCAUCAAAUACAAAUUUUCUUUAUACACUUUGGAGAUCGAAUCAGAAGAUUCAAUACAGAGAUUGUAACCCUAAAUUUCAUUAAUACAAAUAUUAUUUUGUACACGUGUUCUUGUCUCAUUUGUCGCAGGAAAUUCGUGUUUACAAAUUUGGCACGCCCGGUGGGAUUAUCUCUGCCUCUCAUCUCUUUCUCCAGUUUCAAAAUCAAUCAACACACCAAAAAAAUGAUGGCUUCCAAGAAGAUUCAAUCCGUUCCCGCGACGAGAGGCAAAAGCGUGAGCGCCUCCUUCUCAAGCGGAGAUUCUGCUGGGGUCGUCACCCGGAGCAAGGCCAAGGAGAUAUCCGUAACUCAACAUGUUACUUCCAUACCGACUCAAGCCAAGGCGAAAGAUGUUCACCGAAGGCGCGAACCGGUUAUCAACUUGGCCUCAUUGGGGCAAAAGAAGAAUACUUCUCGGGCGGAUGAGAGAAACUCUCGGAGUGAAGGGAGGAGUUUUUCGGGUUCGAAGAAUUCCAGAGAACGCUCACUCUCACCUGUUUCAGACGCUGAUUCGAGCACAUGCUCGUACCAUGGAUCCCCGCCUGACGAUCAACAGAAGAAGCUUACCUCGGCAUCCGUAGGUGAGUCUUAUUCUAUGGCUAUGCAGGUCAUGGUGACGGGAGCUAUGUCUAUUGAAGAGCAGCUGGCCCAUAUGAGCGAAGCGGUCACCAAAUUGACUAAGAUGGUCGAGGAGAAGGAUGCGCAGAUUGCUUCUCUCAUCAACAACAAGUGGGAAGGGCAUCAGGAUAAGGAGCCUGGUCAAGACGCGCACAAGAAAGGACCACAUCAUGAGGCUGAAUCCAGCGAGAAAAGAUUGGGUCAUGAAACAGAGUCGGGUGAGAAGCCGCACGGAAAAGGUGACGCCGCCUCGGUGGGUUCUUUGUCAGUCCAACAACUUCAGGACAUGAUCACAAACACCAUCAGGGUUCAAUACGGAGCACCUUCCCGAGACACGCUCAUGUAUUCUAAGCCAUACACCAGGAGGAUAGACAACUUGCGGAUGCCAACGGGAUAUCAACCUCCCAAAUUCCAACAGUUCGAUGGAAAGGGCAACCCAAAACAACAUGUUGCACACUUCGUCGAAACAUGCAAUAAUGCCGGGACAGAGGGCGACCACCUGGUGAAACAAUUUGUUCGUUCCUUGAAAGGAAAUGCAUUUGAUUGGUAUAUAGACUUGGAGUCCGAUUCCCUUGACAGUUGGGAUCAGAUGGAGCGAGAAUUCUUGAACAGAUUCUAUAGCACUCGUCGCACUGUGAGUAUGAUGGAACUCACAAAUACCAAGCAAUGGAAAGAUGAACCUGUCGUCGAUUACAUCAAUCGAUGGCGCUCGUUAAGCCUGGAUUGCAAAGAUAGGCUUUUGGAGUUAUCAGCCGUUGAGAUGUGCAUUCAAGGAAUGCAUUGGGGGUUACUUUACAUUCUACAAGGAAUUAAACCCCGCACGUUUGAGGAGCUAGCCACUCGUGCCCAUGAUAUGGAGUUAAGUAUAGCUAGUCACGGAGGAAAGCAUGAGCCCGUUAUGGAGCAAAGAAAGGAGAAAGUCUUUGGACAAAAGACAGAUAAACCUGUCAAGAAGCCUACCAAAGAAGCAAUGACAAUAAACACCGUCCCCGUCAAAAUCUCCACCCGAGACAAGAAGAAAGAAGUCAGAAGGAUGGAGCCAUCUCGAGAAGUGGAUAGACGUCGACGCACUUUGAAGGAGUUAGAGGAAAAAACGUACCCCUUUCCUGACUCCGAUGUCGCAGGUAUGCUUGAGGACUUGCUCGAAAAGAAGGUGAUCGAAUUGCCGGAAUGUAAGCGGCCUGAAGAGAUGAACCGAGUCAAUGACCCUAAGUUUUGCAAAUACCACCGAAUUGUCAGCCAUCCGGUAGAGAAGUGCUUCGUGUUGAAGGAGCUAAUUAUGAACUUGGCUAGGCAAGGAAGGAUUGAGUUGGAUGUUGACGAAAUCGCAGAUGCCAACGUUGCCACAAUUGUGUUUGGAUCCUUCGAUCCGAUGCCGCUGCCCGCAUUAUCAAAAAGAUUGGAAUUCCAAUCAACAAGGGGCAUACACCAGGUGACUGAUCCGUGCACAGAAGAAGUGGCGGGCAAACCGAACAAUCAAGGUGGUGAUGGCUUCGUUGGUGAUUCAUCUUUCGAUGACAAUGAAGGAUGGACGCUCGUUACCCGGCGGAAACCUCGUACGAAGCGCAUUCCUCAACGACAAAAUACUCAAUCAAAGAGGGAGCGGCGAAAAAGGAGUUCGCACAAACGCUCUAAAACCAAAACCAGAAUAAUGGUGAAGAGAGAUUCUGGCCGAGAAAGUGGACCACUAAUCCAAGAGCCACGAAUUCCAAUUACGCUAGAAGAAUACUUUCCCAAAAUGUUCUUCGUAAGAAGACCAAUUGAGACUGUUUAUAUGACAACUUGCUAUCAAGUAGAUGACGAAGAUGUCUCGGAAGGAAGAUCGGAAACUCAUGAAGAGCAAAAGGCCCUGACACAGAUAGAAGAUUCACCAUCGCACCUCAAUGUUGAGGAAAUGGUGGAACUUCCUGAAGCAAUACGCAUAGCAUUGGUAAAGACGUUGAUGGAUCUCAAUAUUCAUCCGAAUCAAAUAAGAGAGGCCAAAAAAUUAGAGCUUGAGUCUCAAGACCGUGCUAUUUGUUGUGCGACAUGUGCUUCCAUCACAUUCACCGAUGAAGAUCUUUUGUUAGGGUCCAAACCACACAACCGUCCGCUUUUCGUGUCCGGAUAUGUGCGAGAACAGAAACUCAGUCGCAUGCUCGUGGAUGGAGGUUCAGCAGUAAACAUAAUGCCUAAAUCCACAAUGAUAAAGUUAGGUAUCACAGUGGACGAAUUGUCUCGAAGUCGUCUCAUGAUUCAAGGUUUUAACCAAGGAGGGCAAAGAGCCAUGGGCAUGAUCAGAAUUGAGCUCGUGAUAGGUGACCUAAAGUCAAACACCCUAUUUCACGUGAUUGAUGCUAAGACUUCCUACAAUCUUCUCUUAGGAAGGCCGUGGGUACAUGAAAAUGGGAUAGUACCUUCAACUUUACAUCAAUGUGUCAAGCCAUUUACUGAAGCCGAAUCCUAUUUCGCCGACGCCAAGUUCUACAUCGAUGAAGACAUGGCAUCUGAAGUUAUUCCCGUUGAGGUUCACUCAACUGGCCAGGCCAUACCAAGAAAAGAUGAGCAGUCAAAGUGCCUUUUCGCUGAAGAAAAUAGCUAUAACAAGCCAAAAAGCACUACCUUCGGACAAAUGGGAUCACCACCGAUAGAUUCACGGAAGGUAUCUAGUCCUGUUCUUCGUUAUGUCUCAUCAUCCCGAAGGAAGGAAGGUCAAUCCCCAUUUGGAGAAGAAGUGAAACCAAGGAAGUUAGGGAAAAGUGACAUGAAGUACUUGAAGGAGUCUACAACCAUGCCUUUACCCAAGUUGAGCAAUUUAGAUGUGUUGAAAUCUUCAGUACCAGGGUUCGUCAGACCAUUACAAGAUGCAACAAGACGUGAAUAUCUUCCGGUCAAAAGAACUAAAGAAGGUUUUGAUCCUAAUGCUUAUAAGCUCAUGUCAAAAGCAGGUUAUGACUUCGGCUUGUCUUCCUCGCUGGGAGAGCUCAAUCCAGAUGUCACAGGAGAAAGGACACAUGGCCUUAGCGAAACCCAAAAGAAGUUGAAGGAGCAGGGUUACACAAUCGACUCAGCUAGAACAGGCCUAGGUUUUACUCCUGUCGCACCUGUUAAGAUCUCUGCUAGAAGAAAAGAAAAGAAGGCAGAAGCUCAACACAUUAGUGUCGAAGUGGUUGAGGAGGAAGAAGACCCAAAGGCUAUUAAGAGAGCUUCAGUGUUCGACCGUUUAGCCAAGCCUACUCAGCGGACCUCAGUUUUUGACCGCAUCAAAGAAUCGACACCACGACCUUCUGUGUUCAAGAGGAUAUCUGGACAUAAGAAUCAAAGGGGAAUUCAAUCAGCUCCGCGCAGAUCAGCACUAGAAAGACUCGGAGUUCCAAGCCAACCGUCUGAAGAGAAAAGCAAGCGAGAGUUGGAAAGUGGAGUUCUUGUUGAUUCGACGGAAGAUAAUGAAAUCCGAAGCCUGAUCCCGUCACAUAUGAAACGUCUCUCAACACUAGACGUAACUUCAGGUGACCAACUCAAAGUGAAACGACGAACAAUCAUACAAACUCGGAAAGCUUUGAGUCAACAAAAUGAAAGUGAUGAUGAAGAAGUAGAGAUUCUAACUGUUCAUCACGUUACGAUUAAAGAGCUCGAUGAAGAGGAACCUUUCGAGGAUGAGGUUCAUAACGCUCCUGCUGCAUUAGAAGAUGGGGGCCAAGCGACUGUUGAUGAAUUAAAAGAGCUCAACUUGGGCACAAAUGAAGACCCAAGACCUAUCUUCGUUAGUGCACUUUUGAAUCGUAGCGAAGAGGAAUCAUAUCAUCAGCUGUUGCUUGAGUAUAAAGAUGUCUUUGCUUGGACGUAUAAAGAGAUGCCAGGCCUCGAUCCGAAAGUUGUGGUUCACCACCUUGCAGUCAAACCUGGAGCGCGUCCAAUCAAACAAACUCAACGUCGCUUCCGUCCGGAGCUCUUAAGUCAAAUCGAAGCCGAAGUUGACAAGUUGAUCGCUGCCGGAUUUAUUAGGGAGGUGAAAUACCCGACGUGGAUAGCGAACAUUGUUCCGGUGAAGAAGAAAAUCACGGGACAAAUUCGUAUUUGUGUUGACUUCCGAGACUUAAACGAGGCUUGCCCGAAGGAUGACUUUCCAUUGCCCAUAAUUGAGCUCAUGGUCGAUGCAACCACAGGUCAUGAAGCCUUAUCUUUCAUGGAUGGCUCAUCUGGAUACAAUCAAAUAAGAAUGUCGCCAGAGGACGAAGAACUCACGGCCUUCCGCACUCCAAAAGGAAUUUACUGUUACAAGGUGAUGCCAUUUGGCCUCAAAAAUGCAGGUGCGACCUAUCAACGUGCAAUGCAAAAGAUCUUUGGUGACAUGUUUCACAAGAAUGUCGAGUGCUACGUUGAUGACUUGGUGAUCAAGUCAAAAAGAAGGGAAGAUCACUUGAAAGAUUUGAGAACGGUGUUUAACAGAUUGCGGAAGUACCAACUCAAGAUGAACCCUUUGAAGUGUGCUUUCGGCGUCACGUUAGGCAAAUUCCUUGGUUUCAUCGUUAAACAUCGAGGCAUCGAAGUAGAUCAGACUAAGAUUAAAGCCAUCCGAGAUAUGCCCGAGCCAAGAAAUUUACGUGAGUUGAAAAGUUUACAAGGACGCCUCGCGUUUAUUCGACGAUUCAUCUCAAACUUAGCAGGGAGGUGUCAACCAUUCAGUCGCCUUAUGAAAAAGGAUGUUCCAUUUGUUUGGGAUGAAGCUUGUCACAAUGCCUUUGAAAGCAUAAAGAAGUACCUAUCGAGUUCACCACUGUUAGGAGCUCCUAUUCCAGGCAAACAACUCAAAUUGUACAUUGCGGCUCAAGAAAGGUCAAUUGGAGCCCUUUUAGCGCAAGAGAAUGAGUCACAUAAAGAGCAAGCACUCUACUAUCUAAGCCGAACGCUUACUGGUCCCGAACUAAACUACACGCCUAUAGAAAAGACGUGUCUUGCACUUGUUUUUGCUAUCCAAAAGUUAAGGCACUACAUGCAAGCAUUCACAGUCCAUCUAAUUGCACGAGCUGACCCGGUGAGGUACGUUAUGUCAAAACCAGUCUUGACAGGGCGUUUGGCCAAGUGGGCGUUACUUCUCAAUCAGUAUGAAAUCAUCUACACCCCAGCAAAGGCGGUUAAGGGGCAAGCUGUUGCAGACUUCCUAGCCGAUCAUCCAAUUCCAGCAGACUGGGAAAUUUCAGAUGACUUACCCGACGAACAAGUCUUCUUCGCUGACGUUUCUUCUGCUUGGAUGAUGUUCUUUGAUGGAUCGGCUCAUAAAGACGGGGCGGGGGCUGGCGUAGUCUUUGUAUCACCCGAGAGACACGUAUUGCCCUAUUCAUUCUUCUUAAGUGAACUUUGCUCGAACAACGUUGCAGAAUACCAAGCUUUGAUCAUGGGCUUACAAAUGGCCGUGGAGAUGAAGAUAUCAAGCUUAGAAGUAUAUGGCGACUCCAUGUUAGUGAUCAACCAACUGCUGACUCACUACGAAGUUAGAAAGGAUGAUCUAAUUCCAUACCACCAAUUAGCCACGCAAUUACUAGAAAGAUUUGACUUCGUGACGCUGGAGCAUGUGCCAAGAAAAGAUAAUCAAAUGGCAGAUGCUUUAGCCAACCUUGCCGCUACAUUGGCAUUGACAAAAGAGGAAGCAAUAAAUCUUCCAGUUUGCCAACGUUGGGUCGUUCCAUUAACGCUUGGGACAUCGCAAGAAGGAGUCAACGUUAUCUCGGUACUUUCCAUUGACGUUGAUGACUGGAGACAACCUUUAAUUGAUUAUCUUGAGCAUGGGAAACUGCCAGAUGAUCCAAGACAUCGAUCAGAGGUACGACGUCGGGCACCUCGAUUCAUUUAUUACAAAGAAAUUCUCUACCGUCGUUCAUUUGAAGGCGUAUUUCUAAGAUGCUUGGACGAAGAAGAUGCAUUCAAAGCAAUGGAGGAGGCUCACUCAGGAAUUUGUGGAGCACAUCAAUCAGGGCCAAAGUUACAUUUCCAAAUAAAACGGAUGGGCUACUAUUGGCCGACUAUGGUCAAGGAUUGCAUGGAUUAUGUGAAGAAAUACCAAGCAUGUCAAUUCCAUGCCAACUUUAUCCAUCAACCGCCGGAGCCGCUACAUCCUACAAUUACUUCAUGGCCAUUUGAUGCGUGGGGUCUUGAUGUGGUGGGACCAAUAGCACCUAAAUCUUCCGACGGUCAUUCUUACAUCCUUGCAGCCACAGACUACUUCUCAAAAUGGGCGGAAGCUGUGCCUCUAAAGGAAGUGAAGAAAGAAAAUGUAGUGAGCUUUAUCAAGGUAAACAUCAUUAAUCGGUAUGGUGUGCCACGCUACAUCAUCACAGAUAAUGGCAAGCCAUUCUCGAAUCGGUUGAUGGAUAAAUUGUGUGAAGACUUUGGUUUCAAACAACGCAACUCUUCAAUGUACAAUGCACCAGCCAACGGUCUUGCGGAAGCGUUCAACAAAACUCUUUGCAGCCUGUUGAAGAAAGUUGUUGGAAGAACCAAGAAAGAUUGGCAUGAAAGGAUAAAUGAAGCUUUGUGGGCUUAUAGGACGACAUACCGGACGCCUACUCAGGCUACACCGUACUCACUCGUGUAUGGCGUGGAAGCAGUUUUGCCUCUAGAAAGCCAACUUCCAUCAUUGAGGAUGGCCAUACAAGAGGGAUUGACUGAUGAAGAGAAUGCGAAGCUACGUCUCCAAGAGUUAGAAGCACUAGACGAAAAGAGACUCGAAGCGCAACAACGCUUAGAGUGUUAUUAAGCCCAGCUUUCGAAUGCUUUUAACAAGAAGGUACGCCCCAGAUCUUUUCAGGUGGGAGAUCUCGUCCUCGCAUUACGUAGACCUAUCAUCACAACACACAAAAUCGGAAGCAAGUUUACUUCGAAAUGGGAUGGGCCCUACGUAGUACAAGAAGUAUACACAAGUGGCGCUUACAAGAUUAUAGCGGAGGAUGGUUUAAGAAUUGGCCCUAUCAACGGAAAAUUCUUGAAACGAUACUAUGCAUGAAAUGACUGCCAGCUCCUGGCCCGCAUGAGCCUAAACUGCGUACGGCACCCAAAAAAAAAAAGGCUCGUUAGAUUGAAAACCCGAAAGGGCAGUCUAAGCAAAAAAAAUUAGAGCGCAAGAAAGUCCGUUGAACUGAAAACCCGAAAGGGCGGUUCAAGCAAAAGUUAGGACACAAAAAAAAAAAAUUCUUUGAACUACGUGAUGACUUGAUCCCUUUUCAUCGAGGGUACGUAGGCAGCUUGGACAAAUAAUUCCAAGUUCAGUCACAUCAAAAUAAAGACAAAGGGUUUCCCACGUCAACCCGAACCAUUGAAAAAAAAAAGAAUGAAAUGAGAAAAUGCUUUUAUUUCAUCAUGAAAGUUAUUUAGUAAACAUCAACACUUUGACAAGUUCAAAAAAAAAAUAUAAUAAAACAAAGAAAGUUUACAACAGCAGAAUUUGCUAGUCCCAAGACAAAUCCUUGAAGCCGUUACGCAGUCUCUCAAAGGAAACUCGUGAUGUAUCUAAAGUCUCGGCAUCUGCAGCUGAUAGUACAGGAGCUUCUUCAACCGCGGUCUUAUCCUCUCUCAAGCGGGUGACUUCACCAUGAUGAUAAGAAAGUUGUGCAUCACUCUCUGAAAGUGAUCCGUUUAGUUGGCGCAAUCUUAACUCCAAUUGUUCUUGUUCCCUCUUCAACUCCUCCAUACGCGUAUUGGCAGAUUGAAUAGACUUAAGUAUAGAAGACUGAUGAACUUCUUCAGCUUGUUGCAGAGCCAAGGCAAUAGAAAGUGAAGAGUCCACUGCGGCUAAACGAUCGCUUUGAGCCUCGGGAGAUAGCUUUUGGGAGUAAGUAGAGUGUGCAGAAUGAUAGUCAACUGCAGUCACCAUAAGCGCAUCGAUCAUAGCUCGUAAAGAUGAGACGUUCGCCCCCACAUUGUCAAGAGUAGUCAUCAACUUGCCAAGCUCAUCUUUGAAUGAGGGAAGCCUUUCCAAUGAAGCCUUCAAGAUUAUGCUUUUUACUUGGUUUCCUAAAACGGAGAUUACUUUGCGAAGGGUUUUGUCUGCAACACCUAAUUUGGGCUCCCCACAUGACAUUUCAGAAGUGGACGCAUAAUUAGCCGGCUUUAAUAAAUGUUGUUGUGCAAGUGAACCUACAUUGACCAACGAGUAAUGGUUAAGCAAGUAGAAUCAAAGAUUUCUAAAUACGGAGGGUGAUAAAGAUUGGCAUUGUACCUCUUAGGCUAACACCUGAAGCACUUAUCGGGCGCAACGCAUCAUCUUCCUCUUCAAUAGGCAAAUGAUUAAAUGGCACAAGCUCAGACACAGUGGGGACAUGAUGCACUACUUUUCCCUAAAAUAUAUAUAUAUAAUUAAUUAAUAUAUGUAUGUAUAGAAAAGGGGAAGCUCAAGGCGAAAUAAAAUGCAUACCUCAUUCAUUAGAACCGGUUGUGAAACAGUGGGCACAUCACCAAAAAACCCGUCAUCAAGUGGGUAUGCCGCGUCCAAAUCACAAUAGAGAGGUUCGACACUUGUCUUCUUAUGCCUAAAGUUGACUUCACUGUCUUCAUUGCUACUUAUAUGCCCUCGCUUCAAAUUGCGGAUUCGUCGACUGAGUGGAAUGAAAUCUUCCUGAGAAUCUGCUACGCUUUCUGUUUCUCCUUUAUCAUUAGGGACUCGAGUUGGAGGAACAUCAACUAGAGGUGGGUGUUGAACUCGAGGUGCGGGAGUAGUAGAACUACCUUCAACUUCUGGAUGAACUCGGAGCGCUCUACCACGGGCGAGUUUAUCAUGAACUAAAACUUCAUUGCCAUGAGACUUAAGAGAUUUCGGCUGAGAAAGUGACGACGAUUUGCCUGCAGUUGAGAUUGUCUUUGAUUUCGACGAUUCAAAGCGAUGCACCUUCGACCACCAAAUAACAUAAUCAGAUGUAAUCUCAAACUCCCGAAUAUUGUCUUUAGUGGGUAGGGUUAUUGUAGAUGCACUGCCAAUCUUCAAACAUGAUUUCCAAUGUGAGUACACUGAUAGCACAGUCCCAUUCCGGACGUCAUCUUUAAGUUCUCCUGGCACAUGUUGUACAUAACAAAAUUGUCUACUGAACCUAUGCGGGCUAUAAGGUUGGAUGACUCGAUAGUUUUCCUGUCGUAGAGAAAUGAAUCCCGAACGAAGACAUAUCAAAUACUCAAAGUCUUCUUUAGAAAUAUGAUCUUCAUUAGUCAGUUGUUUGCACUCUGAAAACACUUUUGCUAGACGACUCAUUUUCACUUUACCACAAGUCCGGAACAAAGCUCGAGCUGUCGAAUCUUCAAAAAAUUUCGCCGAAAGUCUUCCUGAGAACCUUGCCAUGAUGGGAAUGGACCUCUCGGAAGAUGAUGUAAAAUGUGUGUCGAAGUAUUCACCCAACCAUCCAUACACAUAAUGGAAAGGUAGAACAGUUGUGCAAUUUCCUGGAUCAUCUGCACUAGAAAUAUCAUUCAGCCCCUUGUAAAUACUGGCCAAUACUGGAACUGCUAAGCUAAAUGAUACACCGUGCGCCAUUCGACUGGCAACUUUGAAAACCCCUGGUCUAAUCAAAGUUAUGUCAUCUUUGGGAAAUACAAAUUUGCACAACCAGCAAGCAAGGAAUGCAGCCAAAUAGGAUCUAUCCAUGUCUUCAUCAGCUAUACCCAAAUCUUCAAAAACCCCUUCCUCUUCCUCAGUACGUUUCAAUACCGCCGCAAUGAUACCAGACGGAUCCAAGUCUUCCUUUGGCUUUUGUGACUUGUUCCGUACAGUUUUCCUUGAAGACUUUUUAUACCUGAAUGGCCCUCGAUACCAGUACUUUAUCCAAGCAGUUAUUCUCACUCCAGAUUUUCCUUUGGAGUCCUGUAAAAUUUUGUGGUACGCUAAGAACAAGUAACGACAAAUAUGUGGGACAUAAGGCACGCCUUUAUGGUCCUUCCUAUUGAGACUCUCAGUGUUUGGAAUAACUUCAUCAUAAAAUCGACCUGUAAUAGGGAGACCGCCGAUUUCAUGAAGAUCCCAAAGGGAAAUAGACAUUUCUCCUUGCGAUGUAUGAAGAGUAUUUGUCGCAGGACACCAGUACUCGCAGAAGGCUCGAAUGACUGGAGCGUGUCGAUCAUAGCUAAAUAACGAGGCAAACACUGCAUUAUAUAGACCGACGCUCUUAAGAACCUGGGUAUUUCUACUUAGCACAUCUUCAAGCCAUUCCCAGUAAUACUCGGUAUAUGUAGAUUCACCAGCCGACGGAAGAACAGAACCCCAAUUCACUGCCCCAUUAUGGAUUCGAUCGCUAAGAAGUUCGAACGCCCCUAAUGAAUCAGUCUCUGUAUGAUGCGAUGACUUUAACUGUAAAACAGUGGAGUGAAGAUCCCUAUCUGUAGAUUUGGAUUUUUUGAAGCUGCUAAGUUGACAAAACACCUCUUGGGACCAAGCCGGAAUAUGAAGAUAAUUGUCCACCUCAGAUAUCUCCGAAGCUAGGAGAGGCGCACCUACAAGCAAUGUGGUACCUUCGUCCCGGCUAUCACUUUCAUCCUCAAGAAUAGUAACGGUGCCUUUCUUAAAACACUUGAAGAAGGCCAUCUAUAUAAGAUGAGAGACAUGAAACAAUAUUCAGUAUCGAGCUGGUGACUUCAUACCAAAAAAAAAAAAAAAGAAAAAAAAAAGAGAGCUUACUUGUACAAGUUUGCAGAGCCGGGCAAAGGUGGAAUGUCUCGAGAAACAAUCUUCACUUGUCCUCCACUUACGUAAAGCCUAAGCGCUUGAACGGGUUAUCACCAAGUCGGAGAGAUGGAUCAAACCCAAGCGGUAUAGGACGUCUACGUUCUUCAGUCGUCCUCCACUUACGUAAAGCCUAAGCGCUUGAGCGGGUUAUCACCAAGUCGGAGAGAUGGAUCAAACCCAAGCGGUAUAGGACGUCUACGUUCUUCAGUCGUCCUCCACUUACGUAAAGCCUAAGCGCUUGAGCGGGUUAUCACCAAGUCGGAGAGAUGGAUCAAACCCAAGCGGUAUAGGACGUCUACGUUCUUCACUUGUCCUCCACUUACGUAAAGCCUAAGCGCUUGAGCGGGUUAUCACCAAGUCGGAGAGAUGGAUCAAACCCAAGCGGUAUAGGACGUCUACGUUCUUCACUUGUCCUCCACUUACGUAAAGCCUAAGCGCUUGAGCGGGUUAUCACCAAGUCGGAGAGAUGGAUCAAACCCAAGCGGUAUAGGACGUCUACGUUCUUCACUCGUCCUCCACUUACGUAAAGCCUAAGCGCUUGAGCGGGUUAUCACCAAGUCGGAGAGAUGGAUCAAACCCAAGCGGUAUAGGACGUCUACGUUCUUCACUCGUCCUCCACUUACGUAAAGCCUAUGCGCGUGAGCAGGUUAUCACCAAAUUGGAGAGAUGGAUCAAACCCAAGCGGUAUAGGACGUCCACGUUCUUCACUUUCUUUCCAAGUACCUAUUAUAAAAAUAAAAAAUAAUUAUAAAAAAAAAAACUGAAAAAGUGAUAGAGGUGCUGCGAAAAAAAAAAGAAAAAAGAAAGAAAAAUUGAAAAAGGGAUAGAUGUGCUGCGGAAAAAAAAAAAAAAAAAAAGAAAAAAGAGAAGAAGAGGAAGAAGAAGAAUGGGUUCAGGCUUACCAACAAGCAACUCUCACCACUUUGGUUGCUGAGAUUCGGAUGAUGCAAACUUCAAAGUCGUAGACCUUCUCGCCAACAAGAGGAGUUUUUUUUUUUCUGCUGUUCUAUUUGGUUGAUCUCAAUAUUCAUGAACAUAGUGUUAUUUAAAGAAACCAAAGACCAUCAAAGCUCCUAGUGAUGCUAGGGUUUCUCAUUCCUAGUUUAGGAAAGUAUCUUGCUUCCCAAGAUCUUACCAAUAUUGGAUAUUAUUAAACUUAAUAAUAUCACCCAAAAAAAAAAAAAAAAAAAAAGCUCCUAGUGAUGCUAGGGUUUCUCAUUCCUAGUUUAGGAAAGUAUCUUGCUUCCCAAGAUCUUACCAAUAUUGGAUAUUAUUACCCAAAAAAAAAAAAAAAAAAAAAGGCCCACGUGAAAACAAAGGGGAACACUUCAAGCUGCACCUCCUACACGUGAAAAGGCCCAUGUCUACAAUGCAUCAUGAAGUGGGGGCAAUUUGUAGACAAAGAAAUUUUGGUGUAAUAAAUUCCAUUGACAAGAAAAUAAUUAGGGUUCGGUGAAUUAAAUCGUGGGCCCCGUAAUUCGCCCAUGUGGCGUGUGACUCAUCAAAAUCGGAUUAGUUGUCAAAAAUGACAAAUGGCGACAUCCGACGGAGUGCAUCAAACGGAUCAAGAUGAAGACAAAAUUAAAGGAAAGAAUCUUCUGUGAUUGACUUUGAUUUAAAUCAAAUAUUAAUCAGGUUAAUCAAUUAAAGAUAAUCUGGUUAAAUUGCCAGAUUAUGGGAAUUGAUUUAAAUCAAAUCAAAAUCCCACAAAUCAAGGUUUUAAAUAGGGAAAGUUAUUUAGGUCAAGCAUCCGACAAAAGCCUAUAAAUAGGAGGCCUCAAGACGAAAGAAGGGGUUCAGAAAACCCUAGCAUUCAGAAGAAACAGAAAACUCUCUGCAUUCUUCACUCUACUUUGGAAGAGUCACCAAGCACAACAAAUACGUGCCGGUUCCUCCACCUUAGAAAAAUCCAAACACCAAACAAGCCUUGUGCUACCCGUUUGAUCAAGAUCAAGUCUCUACGACCCUUGCAUCAAAUACAAAUUUUCUUUAUACACUUUGGAGAUCGAAUCAGAGGAUUCAAUACAGAGAUUGUAACCCUAAAUUUCAUUAAUACAAAUAUUAUUUUGUACACGUGUUCUUGUCUCAUUUGUCGCAGAAAAUUCGUGUUUAC